UUCGAUGUUUGGCCACCAGGUCGAUGGC
Molecule: small RNA, 28 nt
Filed under: Bombyx mori (domestic silkworm)
Lineage: Eukaryota; Metazoa; Arthropoda; Insecta; Lepidoptera; Bombycidae
Description: ovarian small RNA-9643
Source: RNAcentral